Molecule: ribosomal RNA, 433 nt
Filed under: uncultured bacterium
Lineage: Bacteria
Description: partial 16S ribosomal RNA
Rfam family: Bacterial small subunit ribosomal RNA
Source: RNAcentral
AGCGAACGCUGGCGGCAGGCCUAACACAUGCAAGUCGAACGGAUCCUUCGGGAUUAGUGGCGGACGGGUGAGUAACACGUGGGAACGUGCCCUUUGGUUCGGAACAACUCAGGGAAACUUGAGCUAAUACCGGUUGUGCCCUUCGGGGGAAAGAUUUAUCGCCAUUGGUGCGGCCCGCGUCUGAUUAGCUAGUUGGUGAGGUAACGGCCCACCAAGGCCACGAUUAGUAGCUGGUCAGAGAGGAUGAUCAGACACACUGGGACUGAGACACGGCCCAGACUACGACGGGAGGCAGGAGUGGGGAAUCUUGCGAAAUGGGCGAAAGCCUGACGAAGCCAUGCCGCGUGAAUGAUGAAGGUCUUAGGAUUGUAAAAUUCUUUAAGCGGGGACGAUAAUGACGGUACCCGCAGAAGAAGCUCCGGCUAACUUCGUG